ACACGUGGGAAAUCUGCCCAGAAGCAGGGGAUAACACUUGGAAACAGGUGCUAAUACCGUAUAACAAUAAAAUCCGCAUGGAUUUUGUUUGAAAGGUGGCUUCGGCUAUCACUUCUGGAUGAUCCCGCGGCGUAUUAGUUAGUUGGUGAGGUAAAGGCCCACCAAGACGAUGAUACGUAGCCGACCUGAGAGGGUAAUCGGCCACAUUGGGACUGAGACACGGCCCAAACUCCUACGGGAGGCAGCAGUAGGGAAUCUUCCACAAUGGACGAAAGUCUGAUGGAGCAAUGCCGCGUGAGUGAAGAAGGGUUUCGGCUCGUAAAACUCUGUUGUUAAAGAAGAACACCUUUGAGAGUAACUGUUCAAGGGUUGACGGUAUUUAACCAGAAAGCCACGGCUAACUACGUGCCAGCAGCCGCGGUAAUACGUAGGUGGCAAGCGUUGUCCGGAUUUAUUGGGCGUAAAGCGAGCGCAGGCGGUUUUUUAAGUCUGAUGUGAAAGCCUUCGGCUUAACCGGAGAAGUGCAUCGGAAACUGGGAGACUUGAGUGCAGAAGAGGACAGUGGAACUCCAUGUGUAGCGGUGGAAUGCGUAGAUAUAUGGAAGAACACCAGUGGCGAAGGCGGCUGUCUAGUCUGUAACUGACGCUGAGGCUCGAAAGCAUGGGUAGCGAACAGGAUUAGAUACCCUGGUAGUCCAUGCCGUAAACGAUGAGUGCUAAGUGUUGGAAGGGUUUCCGCCCUUCAGUGCUGCAGCUAACGCAUUAAGCACUCCGCCUGGGGGAGUACGACCGCAAGGUUGAAACUCAAAGGAAUUGACGGGGGCCCGCACAAGCGGUGGAACAUGUGGGUUUAAUUCGAAGCUACGCGAAGAACCUUACCAGGUCUUGACAUCUUCUGCCAAUCUUAAAAGAUAAGACGUUCCCUUCGGGGACAGAAUGACAGGUGGUUGCAUGGUUGUCGUCAGCUCGUGUCCUGAAAAUGUUUGGGUUAAGUCCCGCAACGAGCGCAACCCUUAUUAUCAUUUGCCAGCAUUCAUUUGGGCACUCUGUUGGAGACUGCCGGUGACAAACCCGAAGAAAAAGGGGGGGGAUGGACCGUCAAAAACAACCAUGCCCCCUUAUAGACCUGGGGGUACCAACCUUUGUUCCAAUGGAAGGGGACAAACAAAUUUCCGAAAAUCUUGGAGGGUAACCCUAAUUCCUUUAAAACCCUUUUUCCCUUCCCCAAUUUAAGGCGCGCCCCCCCCCC
This 1249-nucleotide ribosomal RNA is filed under the name Levilactobacillus brevis. RNAcentral's name for it is "bacterial SSU rRNA". It matches the Rfam family "Bacterial small subunit ribosomal RNA", at positions 113 to 1312 of the family's 1533-position model. The record is from RNAcentral. Lineage: Bacteria; Bacillati; Bacillota; Bacilli; Lactobacillales; Lactobacillaceae.